UCUCUCUGAAUCUGCGAACGGCUCCGCAAACCAGUUGUAAACUAUAGCAAGCAUGCCUGUAUUCCCUUCACGGGGGGUGCGGGUAAGAUGGAUAACCCUGGUAAUUCUGAGGCUAAUACGAGAACGUACUCCCCUGCUAACCGGGCAACUGGAAGGUAGGGAGGUGUGUGAUCAAAGCACGAGGAAUCUGCUGGGAAUGGACACACGCCUGGACCGCGCCAAAAACAGAUGAGGCUUCCUUUCGGGGUCGCCUUGCCUGAGCGGCUCUUGCUUUGUGCUUCUGACCUAUCAACUAGAUGGCAGCGUAACGGACAUGCUAUGGUUACAACGGGUACAGAGGAUAAGGGUUCGAUCCUGGAGAGUGGGCCUGAGAGAUU
This 377-nucleotide ribosomal RNA is filed under the name Didymium trachysporum. RNAcentral describes it as "SSU rRNA". It matches the Rfam family "Eukaryotic small subunit ribosomal RNA", at positions 76 to 405 of the family's 1831-position model. The record is from RNAcentral. Lineage: Eukaryota; Evosea; Eumycetozoa; Physariida; Didymiaceae.